This 760-nucleotide long non-coding RNA is filed under the name Salmo salar (Atlantic salmon). RNAcentral's name for it is "lncRNA (ENSSSAG00000092967.1)". Lineage: Eukaryota; Metazoa; Chordata; Actinopteri; Salmoniformes; Salmonidae. The record is from RNAcentral.
GCUCCGUACAGGGAAGCCUGGGAAACAGGAGCAACCAACCAACAGACAGACAAGUGCAUACAGUGCAGAAGCUUACUGCAGGGAGAGAACAUUGACCCUAAUGAGGAUCUAUGGAAGCCUGCUUGAUCCAAGAUGAAAGGUGGAGAGACAGUUUGGACAGUAAUCAAAACGCAUAUGGCCCCUUUGAAACACUUGGACUACGAUGUGAAGUUAACCCAUCCUUAGCAUGACAGAAUCCAGAGCCACCAAAUGUUGUAUCACAGUUAGAGGUUGGAAACACAUCCAUAGUGAGUAAUUUCCCAACAUAACACCGGAAGCAUGUAUCAUGUAUUUUUGAUACACCUAACAUUAAACCGUUACUCUUACAGUACACGCAACAUUUUCCUUUAACAUCUAACUAGCUACAGCCUUUUCCUAAAUCAUACUUAGUCAAAUCAAACAAAACAACUGUCACACUCAUAGCUUCCUAAGACUCAGUAUUUCAUAAUUGACAUAGAAUUUCACAGCCCCCAUUACUAAUUACGUACAGUAGUAGACGUUCAAAGCUAGUUUCAGUGUCACACACUGUAUAAUCCCUUCCUUUAAUGUACAGUCCCUUCUUUAAUGACCUCCUAUACGUUCCCCUUCCUCUUACAGUAAUGAAAGGCGUGUGUGAAAACGGGGACAGAGGGAGAUCAUCCGCUCUGGAGGGAAAUUUCCUCUCUUAGGACUGUGUCCUCGUUAUACUUUCCCAUCCCAAAGCAAGGUCACAGCGUCUCCC